Ostrea edulis (European flat oyster) is the source of this 3770-nucleotide long non-coding RNA. RefSeq lists it as uncharacterized. The record is from RefSeq and is a predicted model, not a curated record. The transcript is spliced from 2 exons. Lineage: Eukaryota; Metazoa; Mollusca; Bivalvia; Ostreida; Ostreidae.
CAUUUAAUAUAAACUGAGAUAUUGCUCAAAGUUUAAAACUAAGUUCAACAAGUCGCGUAUGACAGUAGUUCACACGACUGAUCCGGAAUUGGACAAACAGAUGGUGUCUCUUUGGUAACGCAUCUCAACUACAAUAAUGCUUUCACUGAAGAAAUAUUUAUUGAUGCAUUUGCUGAAAGAUAUAUCAAUUAAAUGCAUUUAGUUUUUGUGCAGAAAACUUGGUUAUUCUUUAGCUACAGACAACUUUUCCCUCCAGCACGAUUUUUUCCGAAGGUGUAAGUGACCAAGAUUUCGAAGUCCUAAUGUAUUAAAGAAGUGUGACAAGUAAUAAACCUGGGUUGGAUCAGUAACCAUUUUCAGCAUAAUUUACCUUUCUAAGUAAAAAUUAUUUCAUUAAGUAUUUUUAAUGAUAAUUACAAAGUGAUUCGCAGUGUGCGAAAUUAACCAUGGACCAAUAGACAAUGUCUAUAGAAAAUCGGGUCGGUCUACAACAAUCGAAAUAGCUAUAGACCAACUUGUCUAUAGGAAUUAUGAGUAAAUAACUGGUUACCCGCUGCUUAUUUAACAUAUAUGAGAUGCGAAACCAGUUUAUAUGAAUUAGCUGAUGUUUCUUUUCACCCUUUAUUUGAUAUUUACUUCAAUGUACACCAUUUUUCGUGCAAAUUCAGAAUGUCCUUUUUUGAACGGUUAAAAUAUGUGGAAGGUGCACGUACUGGAAUCAAAUGGAAAGCAGUCAGUACAACAAGUUCCAGCAAGGCUAAAGUCGCAGAAAAUCAUGAGAAAACGAAACGUAGUAGAAGUGACUUAGAUGAAGAAUCAAACAGUGAAACUGAGCUGGAACAAAAUGAAAAAGAAAACAAACUUUUAAUUAAAAAGCUUGUGCAUGAAAUUGAAAAAAGAAUAUAAUUAAACUAUGAACGAAUUACCAAAUCAAAUUUGUGUCUAUUAUUUACUUUUUAAUAACAAUGAAUAUUACAUGUUAAAUUUUGGUCUAUAGAAAUUUGUUGUGGUCUAUAGGAAAUGAAAUUACUAUGGACUGAAAGUCUAUAGGACUUUAAAGUUAGUUUCACACACUGGAUUCGGAACUGGCAUUGAUCCGGAACUGGGCAAAAGACUACUACCAUUAUUACCACUUUAGCAGUCAUUUUUAUUCUAUCAUUUUCAAACUUAAUCUCUGUAAAAUUUGCUUCAACAUUAGCAAUGAUUAAGACAGAAUUUAAACUUCAAGUCACAUUAUCACAGCAUCAUUAAAUUCUUCUCUGACACUGGUCAGAAAGGAACAUUCUAUUUCUGUUAUGUGAUGAAGUGGGGGCUUCCUGCAGGGAAAUAAGUUGAGGCAUACUGAUAACAAAUUUUACAAAAGUUUUAUUUAUACAAGUACUGGCACAAAAACAUCCAACAUUUACAUAGCAUCUCGCACUUGUAUACCGGCUACUUUGUCAACACAUGGAUCUAUAAUAAAGUGUGUGAGGCAUGGAUCCUAUUGUUUGAUAAAUAAUAAUAAAAUAGCAUAUUGUUUCUAUUUAAGAAAUAGAGCUAAAUAAAGAGUUCAGGGGCUGACAAAUGAUUUUUUUAAAGCACUUGCCCUUGGGCAAGUGGUUAGGCAUAAUUUACUUGCCCAACCUUUCAAUCUACUUGCCCCAUCAAUAUUGCUCAUUGUGGUAGAAAUUUAAAUUAAAGAUAAAAUCUAUACAAUAUUUGUGUUCUUUGUUUCACUUUUCACCCAUGGCAACGUGUCCUCUCAUGAUUUGAUGUAAAACCGUUUCCUCUGAGUUUUCUCGUACUUCGCAUACUUUGAUACUGAAGGUCCAGGACAUUCAUUGUUAACAAUGUCAAAUAAUUACUGGUCAUCGUGUGUUUUCCGAGCCUUUUCGCUUGACUUUAGUUAUAAAUUUGUCCAUGCUUGGACCCUCACCGCAAUGUCAACACAUACGUAUACAGGGAUCGAAAUUAACUUUUUUCUCUACUAGCAAAUUUUAGCUAGUGGAUUAAUUUCCAACUAGCAAAAUUGAGUUUUUACUAGCAUUUUUCAAUCGAUUGCUGUUUUACAUGAAUUUAAGAAAACAAGCAUGUCUCUUUAUCAAAAUAUAGGGAAAAUCUUUUAAAAUCUCCUUUAAAGUGCAAUAAUAAAAAUAAGAUUGCAAAUUCUUCCAUUUAAAAUUUAAUGAAUUAUCAGACAACAUACAUGGUGAGGGUCAUAGGGUACACUUGUGCGGCGUACUUUCUGUCCAGAGAUCUACCACCUAUUUACAACAUCAUGUGGAUUGAAAUUUUGAAGACUGUUUGCGCCAAUCAACUAUAUGUUCAAAGCUUUUGGAAAUUUCAUCUAAAAAAUUCUAGUUGAAAAGAAAACCCUGCGAACUCGAAGUAUUUGACUAUAGAGAACAGAAGGACACCGCGUGAAACGGUGACACUAACACUGUCAUGUGUUUUUUCAUGUAGACACGGACGAAAUCAACAUGCUUGCUAUUUAAAUCAGACGUCACUGAGACGCCCAAAGUGUGCUUGAAGUAGGCCAUCUUCGACAUCACUGACUGAGAUGACCUUGGCCAUAGUUAUUUAUUCGAUCCACGUUUACUUUUUCAAUACUUGUAUAUUCAUUCUGUAAAACGUUUCUAUGCACAAUGCUCAGUUCAUAUAUUUCCAAGGUAUUAAGCAAGAAAAAUUUGCUAACAAAAUAGUGUGAUUUUUAUUUGAAAUUGAAAUUAAAGAAUACCAACAAAAAAAAAAAAAAUUAAGAAAAGUGACAAGCUUGACCCCUGAGUCUCUUAUGGAACAAUUUACCUCUGUUUGGAUGGCCAUAUGAUAUCCUGUUGGUUUGUUGGUCCAAAUGACCCUAGUCAAGUAAAUUUUUCACAAUUUUGGGUAGUGUUGUACUGAUAAUCAGAAAACAUCGAUUAACGACGAAAAAAAGCUACCAAUUCCGAUGAUCGAUUGUUUUUUUUCAUAAUCGAUCAUCGGAUCCACACAUCUCAUAGAGCGCAUUCCGGAAUUAGACCGUUUCCGUUAUCGUUUUACCUGUGCCGGGGGAAAAAAUGGCGUCAAACAAUGGAAUAUAUGAUCACCCGGGCGUGAAAAAGAAGUCAGAAGUAUGGAAGUAUUUCGGAUUUCGGAAGGUAGACAUCAAUUUACCUCCAAGUAAAACGAACCUAAAUCUAAAUAAAGCUGUGUGCCGUAUAUGCUACAAGGAAUACACCAACACUGGAAAUACUACAAAUUUCCGUGCACAUCUGGAUAGUGAACAUAAACAGCAGACACAGAAGACUGGCUUAGUGAUAUAAUGUGCGUAGGAGAAAGCAGUUUCACAAGAUGAUAUGGCUUAUGAAGAGACCAGACGUUACCUGGGGAUGGCACUGAAAGAAGAUGACAAAGGGCUCACAGCUCUAGCGUGGUGGCAGAAAAAGGAAAUGUUUCCCCCCAGAAUAGCAGUUCUUGCAAAAAAGAUUUUAUGUGUUCAAGCUAGUAGUGUGCCAUCAGAGAGAGUAUUUUCUCUUGCUGGUGGGUUGAUGUCAAAAAAGAGAAGUACGUAGGCUGCAGUGCAGAUAAUGUAGAUUUGUUUAUUUUUUUGAGCAAAAACAUGAGUAAAUUUUGGUGAGAGAUUGAAUGGUAUUAUGCUUAAGCCAGAGACAGUAGAGAUUUAGAUUAAAAUGCUGAGUUUUACAUCAUACUGGUGUUUAGUUUAUCUUGCUAUUUCUCUCCUAGAAAGAGCUGUUAACUAUUUGUUUAAGAAAUGUAAUGCUUUGUAUUGAAUAAAAAACAAAUCUGCACUA